Molecule: long non-coding RNA, 215 nt
Organism: Clupea harengus (Atlantic herring)
Lineage: Eukaryota; Metazoa; Chordata; Actinopteri; Clupeiformes; Clupeidae
Exons: 3
Source: RefSeq, a predicted model, not a curated record
CAGCAGCAGCAGCAGCAGCAGCAGAUGAGCACCAAUCAGAGUUCAGACCAGGACCAGAGUCAGUCUGCAGGAAGAGGGGGGUCUGAGUCAGAGUAUAUGCCUCUGCAGAACAGAAGUACAGAUGUCUAUGACACUAUCACCCCCCUAUAUAUGCCACUGCAGAGAGGUGCUACCGAUGUCUAUGAAACAAUUAAAUCAUCCAAGGACUCUCAAGA